GCACCACGAAAACAAAACCAACAACGAUAGCAACAAUGAUCAAUUAAUCAAACACCUUAAGCCCAAAAAAAAUUAUAUAAUAGACACAAAAUCAAAUUAAUCAAACUCUAGAGCCCAAAUUGUACUUCUCAAUAAUCAGAAAACCCACAUCAAAAUUGAUGUGACAAACUAGAAAAACAAAACAUGGGGCUUUUCUUAUUUGCGCAUAACCAGGAAAAAAAAGAGAAACAAAAAUCCAAUAAAAAGCUCUCUGUAGACUUGGGGUUAAUCUUGUUUGACCUUAAUCAGACAAAAAAAAGAACCUAAAUCAGAAAUAAAAUCUCAUUUAGAAAUGGGAUUAUCUUUUUUGAGUUCUAAAAAAUUAAAAUAAAUUACAAAUGACACACCCUACCUUUGUCUGAGCGAUUAGCUUGCAGCAAUGGCCAUAUGAGGGGAGUAGACCUGACCUGACGUGAGGUGACGUGAGGCGAGGCGAGGCGAGGCGAGGAGUUGCUGGAGGGCUGGGAACUUCGUUGGGGCAUGUGGCGACGGAAAUUGUUCCUCUCUGUCACUGUAAACGCAUCAAAUGAUUGAAUGCACUGGCAUGAUCACACUGUCUAUUUAAUCGCUCCAGUAAAACCUUAAUUACCAAUAAUGGCGAGACUCAAUUACCCAAUAAUCUGGUUAACAAUAUUUUUUAAUUGCGCUUUUCAACCCAUUGACUAACCUCGAUAAAAAAAAAUGGCUAAAUUUAUUAAGAGAAAGUAUAAAAUGUGACCAUUUAUCUUUGGUACAAGGUGAGACAUUACUCUUGAUCAUUGGAUGUGAAAUUGGGUGGCUGCCAUCAUUUUAUUGAACAAGCUCAAACUUCAAAAUAAAUUUUUUUGAACUUUUGUGACGCAUCCAAGCUAUCAAACUUCACAUCAUAUGGUUGUAAGUAUUUGUGACCACCUUGUAUCAAAAGUAAAUGGUCUCAUUGUAUACAAUCUUGUUCGUUAAAUAACAAUUGUUUCAUGCAGGCUGGACCGCAUUUGUACAAUAUGUAGUCUAAAGGUAUAAAGCAUCCAUCUUAAAGAUUGUAAAUAGGUGGUCCAUAUAAAAACAACUUAAACUAAAGGUAUAAAGUUUUCUUAAUAGAAUUAUUAUUUCUAGUUUUUUUUUUUUUUUUCAUAUUCAUGAUCUCUAUUUUAAAUAUUAUAUAUUCUCUUAAAAAUAAGAUCGAAUUCUAUUUUAAAAAUAAAUUUAUGAAGGGGCCCAUAUUUCUACAUAUCUCUCCCCACCUUUGUGAUAGACAAAAACAUCCAAAUAGAAUGGAGCAGUGUUUUAAAAAACGUCGAGUCGAACCGGACUCGCCCAGUUCGACUCGAAAAUCGUAAAAAGUGGAUUGUAUCGGCUAAAAAAUCAGAAAUCGUCCGGUUCUAGAGAGAACCGGAUGAUUCUGUACAGUGACUCGCCGAUUCACUGUACGGAAUCGGCGAGUCCAAACAGUGAAUCGGCGAGUCCCGUUUACGGUUUUUUUUUUUUUUUUUAUUUUUUUUUUUUGUUGUAAUCCAUGAAAUAUUUUUUGUAGUACUUGAUCAAUUUUUUGGAAUCCAUGAUCGAAUUGUUUUUGUUUUUUUGUAAUCCAUGAUCGAAUUUUUUGUUUUUUGUAACCCAUGAUAGAAUUUUUUGUAAUCCAUGAUCGAAUUUUUUGUAAUCCAUGANNNNNNNNNNNNNNNNNNNNAAAUGGGAAGUGUUCAUUACAAAUCUGCAAGUAUAAACUCUCCAUAAAUAGAUCACGGUCACAUAAACAACGAGCCAGACCUGAAGCAUUAUACACUACAACAAUCUAGUGACAAUGGCAAUCCAUUCAUCUUUUCUUACUUUAGAGCUUUCACAAAAUGGCAGUCCAGUGACAAAAUAAAAUUCAAGGGCACAAAAGAAAAAACAAGUUAUAGAUUUUCUUGCCAGGCCACAAUGAAAUGAUAGCUACCUAUCUCAUAAUACUUUGAAAAAAAGAAAACUGGUUCUACUUCCAUCAGAUUUAUGAUACCGCACAGCUUAUUAAUUAAACAAUGGUAGGCUGGGAAAUACCAUUGUCUGGGAAGGACCAGAUCUUGCUUGAUUAUUCUGAGCAAUAUUUUUACUCAAGACACUUAGAAAACAUCUCUUUUUUCUUUUGAGAAUUAAACAAUAAAAUCUCACAUCAUCAUCAUCAGAGCCUUUUCCCAACAAUAAAAUCUUACAAGUAACCAAAAAAAUCUAUGAAAUUGCAGCUACAGAUAAAAAUAAUUAUACAUUUAUAGCAAACAACAUUUAUACAUUUAUAGCAAACAACAUUCACAAGCACUGAAACCGCAAAACCAAGGCAAAAAAAAAAACACUAAACGGAAUAAAAGUUAAGUUCAUCAGCACUCACAAUACUUAUCACAGCAAGAAUAGGAAAUGUCCAUAAACAGCAACCUAUAAACUAGAGAAAAUCCACAUAAUGAUAAAAGCUUGAUCUGGAAAAAAAACACAGGCACCAAAUCUACCACAACCACAAGACAAAAAUUCAUCAAAAAACUGGGAAACUAAUUCAAUAACUGUCACUACUUAAUCAAGUCACCAUGGAAGUAUCCCUACAGGAACCACAAAUCCUAAUCAGGCAUAAAAGGAACAAAAUAAAAAUACCAUAAAAUCUAUUUCAAAUUAAAUCACUAAACUGAAAAACAAAAAGGGCAAACCAAGGAAUACAUCAAGUGUAAAACAACACAUAUCCCUAGGAACCAGUCUGCAUCGGAAAAUAUUCAUUUUUAGUAAAUCGACCUAAACCAAAUGAAAUUCCCAGUUCAAGUUAAUAGGAAGCAGUACAUGCCUUAUGUAUUUGAUCUGAUCGUCUAGUAAGCAAAUAAAAGGAACCCAGCCCAUAUAUUGCCAAAUACCAAAAGUGAAAUCAAGAAUCCAUCUCAAAAGAAACCAAAUAUUUCACAUAAGAUCCAAGCAUAUUCAACUGUAACGACACAUAACACCACUAUAUCCGUACCUAUAUAGAAAAAAAGAAUAAACUAGUUCCACCAAAUACUACGUAAAAGCAAGUUAUUUCACAAAAAUCAUCCCAGCUAUCAAAAUUUAUAUCCUCUGGGUAAUUGAGUUCAUAUCCGAUCGAGAUCCCACAAAACGGCCCUCUACUUGUUCACUUCUUCACGAAACCUCUAACAGUGAAAAAAACCAAACAUACUUAAACCAGAUAUUAAAACUUUAAGCUAUACAGUACCACCAAUCACACCAAAAAAACCUAAUUUUAUCAAAGGACCUGCAUUUAUAAACCUUACUCGAAAGCAAAUAAAGAACCGACCAAACAAAAAGUGAUAUAUCAAAAGCCUGUAGCAAGCUAAAGCACAUCGUCGUCCAAAAAAAAAAGCAAAAACAGCGAGAGAUUUCCUAUCGACCGAUCUUUAUAACUAAAUCUCUAGCAAAUAAACCAAGCAAACAACAUAUAUCAAAGCUCGAAGUAAGCAAACUCAUACCACCAAUCACACAUGAAGCCACAAAUAACCUAAAAAUGGAAUUUUUGGAUGAAAUAUAAUUCUCUUGCAAAUAAAUAGAAAAAUCGCAAGAAAACAAAACCAGAUAUUAAAGGUUAUGUGAUCUUAAGAUCAUACCACAAUUACAACAACAAAAAAAUCUAGAUUCCCUAUGAAUGAUCUGAUUAAGAACCAGUAAAACAUUGAAAACAAGUGAAUCAACAAAAUAUGCAGAGAAAGUAAAUCCCCAUGGAUCUUAGAAAUAGGGUUUACCUAAAAUGGCAGAGAGAUACAUCUCAUGCCGCCUCAGAGAGUUACGAAAGAGAAGAAACGUAGAGGACACCCUAUUAUAAACCCUAAUGUUGGCCCUUUGAGAUAGUCCUAGCAAUCUCUAACAUGAAUCCUGGCCAUUGACUGAGGGGGAAAUUCAUUCUGUAAACUGUCUUUGGAGAUGAUAAGCGUGAGGCAACUUGAUCCCCACGCUUGCCCAAAAGGCUGUGUUCGAUAACUUUCUCUGCAGUUUCCCUAGUAUUCUCCCUGCUGCUGACUUUCCUGAAAUCUGGGAGAAAGAGAAAUUUGGUAGCCUGAAGCUAGAACCCUGUUUGAUAAACUGUGGUGCUACUAUUUUAGCCUGUUUGGUAAUGUUGAUGUUGGGAGAGCACGAGACAGCCUGUUUUAACCGUUUAUUAUGAAUUUUCAUGAUUUGAUGUGUGUAAUGUAUAUUUUUGAAUAAUAUUUUCUCGCCACUACCUAUCUAAUGCAUUUCCUAAAAAGUAUGGUUAAGAUUGAAAUUUAAUCUCACAUCUAUAUUAAGAAAUAGCCUCAAUAAAAUUGCAACAAGUAUAAAGAACCAGAAAGGUGGAGUUAAACACACGAUUCUUAAGCCAAGUGAAACUAAAAGUAAGUUCCCAAUCACAAUACUUCUACAAUUUUUAUGUUAUGAGAAAUCAACGAGCAAGAGACAUGAAAAAAAAAAAUAUAGACGAAAUAACCAAAUUGCCAAUGAAUAUUGCAAAGAAAGAAAACUAACAGUUAUAUGAACCAAGAGGGUCAAAAUCAGAGAAGUAUCACAAAUAAUUUCACUACAAGAACAACAUCAAUAAAUUGUAUAGCUAACUAUACUAAUCUCAAAACUCUGAAUGCUUGGUAUACAAGCAUAAUACAGCAUUGCGUGCACCGAUAACUUGUAUUAAUGAAGAGCAAAUUCCAAGAAUGUGAGAAAUCAACAUGCCACAACAUCUAAAGCAAAAAUAAACUAAAACAAACCAAAGCAGGUAAAAUAGUUCAAACUUACAACUUCAAACUGACUAUAUGACAAAUAUCCCAAUUCAAUCUAGAAUGAUGUUGUUUGUGACAUACAUAAUGAAGUAAAAACAGUUACAAAUUUCAAUUUCACGGCUUUCUAUUACCCAGUGAGAGAUAAUGCCAUUACAACAACAGAAUAACAAAAUUAAACCCCAGACCUUGGCAAAAGUAACCGGAAAAACCUAAAUUUCAACCCAAUGAGUACAAAAACCAAUGAGUACAAAAACCAAAUGAGUACAAAAACCAAAUAACAGAAAACCCCAUAAAUUAUAUAACCAAAUGACAAUAGAAUAGAACCCAGUUUUAUAGAUAUCAAAUCCUAUUGCAUAAUACAACCUCCUAAAUAAGCGUUCAUCAAUAAAUAAAAAUAAAAACAGUAAAAGAAUACUUAGAUUAUUAACUCAUAAAACCAACUGAAAAUUAGUUCAAUGACGCACCACAAAAACAAAACCAACAACGAUAGCAACAAUGAUCAAUUAAUCAAACACCUUAAGCCCAAAAAAAUUUAUAUAAUAGACACAAAAUCAAAUUAAUCAAACUCUAGAGCCCAAAUUGUACUUCUCAAUAAACAGAAAACCCACAUCAAAAUUGAUGUAACAAACUAGAAAAACAAAACAUGGGGCUUUUCUUAUUUGCGCAUAACCAGGAAAAAAAAUAGAAACAAAAAUCCAAUAAAAAGCUCUCUGUAGACUUGGGGUUAAUCUUGUUUGACCUUAAUCAGAUAAAAAAAAAGAACCUAAAUCAGAAAUAAAAUCUCAUUUAGAAAUGGGAUUAUCUUUUUUGAGUUCUAAAAAAUUAAAAUAAAUUACAAUGGCACACCGUACCUUUGUCUGAGAGAUUAGCUUGCAGCAAUGGCCAUAUGAGGGGAGUAGACCUGACCUGACGUGAGGUGACGUGAGGCGAGGCGAGGCGAGGCGAGGCGAGGACGACUGGAGUUGCUGGAGGGCUGGGAACUUCGUUGGGGCGUGUGGCGACGGAACUUGUUC
Molecule: long non-coding RNA, 5755 nt
Filed under: Amborella trichopoda
Lineage: Eukaryota; Viridiplantae; Streptophyta; Magnoliopsida; Amborellales; Amborellaceae
Description: long non-coding RNA (ATRI_LNC004415)
Source: RNAcentral